AUGAACGCUGGCGGCGUGCCUAAUACAUGCCAGUCGAGCGCACAGACGAGGAGCUUGCUCCUCUGACGUUAGCGGCGGACGGGUGAGUAACACGUGGAUAACCUACCUAUAAGACUGGGAUAACUUCGGGAAACCGGAGCUAAUACCGGAUAAUAUAUUGAACCGCAUGGUUCAAUAGUGAAAGACGGUUUUGCUGUCACUUAUAGAUGGAUCCGCGCCGCAUUAGCUAGUUGGUAAGGUAACGGCUUACCAAGGCAACGAUGCGUAGCCGACCUGAGAGGGUGAUCGGCCACACUGGAACUGAGACACGGUCCAGACUCCUACGGGAGGCAGCAGUAGGGAAUCUUCCGCAAUGGGCGAAAGCCUGACGGAGCAACGCCGCGUGAGUGAUGAAGGUCUUCGGAUCGUAAAACUCUGUUAUUAGGGAAGAACAAAUGUGUAAGUAACUAUGCACGUCUUGACGGUACCUAAGCAGAAAGCCACGGCUAACUACGU
RNAcentral lists this ribosomal RNA (495 nucleotides) under uncultured bacterium. RNAcentral's name for it is "partial 16S ribosomal RNA". It matches the Rfam family "Bacterial small subunit ribosomal RNA", at positions 29 to 506 of the family's 1533-position model. The record is from RNAcentral.